AUGGAUCCAUCCUCAAAAACCUUCACUAUAAAAUCAACUCUUCAGAUCACAGAAAGGGAAGAAAAUUUUAGAAGAAGAAAAAAGGGAUGUUGUCAAGAUUAUUUGAAGAACUUCCCCCCGUCAAGCUUCAACAUAAUUUUCAGAAUCUGCAAUUUCCAGAGCAUCAAGAAUCACAACAACUUCAGCACUAUUUUCCAGCUCCAACUUAAAUCACCCUACAAUUCACCGAAAUUCCAACAACCAUGCAUUUUUCCAGUAUUUCUCAGAAGAUUUAGAGAGAGUUAA
Vicia faba (fava bean) is the source of this 285-nucleotide non-coding RNA. Lineage: Eukaryota; Viridiplantae; Streptophyta; Magnoliopsida; Fabales; Fabaceae. The record is from the annotation of a GenBank genome assembly.